RNAcentral lists this transfer RNA (86 nucleotides) under Candidatus Omnitrophota bacterium. RNAcentral's name for it is "Candidatus Omnitrophica bacterium (sediment metagenome) tRNA-Tyr". It matches the Rfam family "tRNA". Rfam says of the family: Transfer RNA (tRNA) molecules are approximately 80 nucleotides in length. Their secondary structure includes four short double-helical elements and three loops (D, anti-codon, and T loops). The record is from RNAcentral. Lineage: Bacteria; Pseudomonadati; Candidatus Omnitrophota.
GGGUAGAUACCCAAGUGGCCAAAGGGGACAGACUGUAAAUCUGUUGCAUCCGUGCUUCGAAGGUUCGAAUCCUUCUCUGCCCACCA